CAGGUUAAAGACAGCUGAUGAUGGCUCUGGGCCUCUGGCAAUGAGCUCCAUGAUCUUGAUGGGAGUUCAGGCUGUAAACUGACAUAAUCCAGCUCACUCAUCCGCUCCUUGUAUACAGGUGAGAGAUAAACUGAGAGGAGAGGAAGCAAGUCAUCCCAAAUCAUGUAUUAAAUGCAGAAAACAAAGCAGGAGUGAGUAGUGAACUAGCGCCACUGCAAGUAAUGAGAGCAAAAAUCAGGCACGUCGAAUAAAAAUUCAGUAUAAUGGUUAUACAAGAUGGAU
Molecule: long non-coding RNA, 282 nt
Filed under: Setaria italica (foxtail millet)
Lineage: Eukaryota; Viridiplantae; Streptophyta; Magnoliopsida; Poales; Poaceae
Description: long non-coding RNA (SITA_LNC005704)
Source: RNAcentral